Molecule: transfer RNA, 67 nt
Filed under: Marmota monax (woodchuck)
Lineage: Eukaryota; Metazoa; Chordata; Mammalia; Rodentia; Sciuridae
Description: tRNA.Ala
Source: RNAcentral
GGUUAUGGCUCAGAGGUAGAACACGUGCCUAGCAAGUGUGAGGCACUGGGUUCGAUUCUCAGCACCA